AGCAUGUUAUAUAAAGGCAGAUCGCGGAUACAGCGUUCCAUCACAGCAUUCUAUCACAGUGUUCCAUCACAGCAUUGCAACACAGUGUUUGAUCUCUCUUCAUGACAGACUUCUGGCUACUCAACAGACGUAGUAGCCAUGGAUGGCCAGAGAGGGCGGUGGAGAGCUGUCUCGCUGUUUGUCUUCAUGUGCUCAGCACUACAGACCAGUCAAUUUGAGCUGACAGAUGAGGACUGGGAGGAGCUGUCUGACAAUGUGGGCUCCAUCUACCAGCUAAGAGGCCUGCAGGACGACUUUACCUAUGACACCACAUCUGAGGACAGCAAUCCUGUGGUUCAAGCUCAGCUGCAAGUUCGAUCUGGAAGUCAAAGCUCAAGGAGUAGCCUGGGGAGGUCCAUGUCAUUCCUGCCAGAUUACGAUUACCCAGAUUACAAUAAACAGCCAAAAAAACCG
Molecule: long non-coding RNA, 453 nt
Organism: Engraulis encrasicolus (European anchovy)
Lineage: Eukaryota; Metazoa; Chordata; Actinopteri; Clupeiformes; Engraulidae
Exons: 5
Source: RefSeq, a predicted model, not a curated record